RNAcentral lists this non-coding RNA (31 nucleotides) under Mus musculus (house mouse). The record is from RNAcentral. Lineage: Eukaryota; Metazoa; Chordata; Mammalia; Rodentia; Muridae.
UAGAAUUAAGCCCAUGGAAAGACUAUUUAGU